This 282-nucleotide long non-coding RNA is filed under the name Carica papaya (papaya). RNAcentral describes it as "long non-coding RNA (CPAP_LNC016179)". Lineage: Eukaryota; Viridiplantae; Streptophyta; Magnoliopsida; Brassicales; Caricaceae. The record is from RNAcentral.
GAUUACCCGGAAUUCCAGGACUUCCAGGAAUUCCCGGACUUCCAGAAGUUCCAAGGAUUCCAGGACUUCCAGGAAUUCCAGAAUUUUCUCAGAUUAAUCAGUGUUUUGCAUCACUAAAUAGCAUUCAGGGAUGUUUGCUAUCGCUUUUCACUUUCCCAAUCGGGGGUCUCGCACCUUCGUCUUCAUGUUGCAAUGCACUUCAAGAUAUUAGCAAAAACUGUUGGUCUAUUUUUUUUCCCUUAGCCCCAAAUACUCCACAAUUGAUUCAGAACUUUUGCAACA